This 717-nucleotide ribosomal RNA is filed under the name uncultured Bacteroidota bacterium. RNAcentral describes it as "bacterial SSU rRNA". It matches the Rfam family "Bacterial small subunit ribosomal RNA", at positions 78 to 793 of the family's 1533-position model. The record is from RNAcentral. Lineage: Bacteria; Pseudomonadati; Bacteroidota.
UUUCGGGAUAAAUGACAGUGGCGCACGGGUGCGUAACGCGUAUGCAACCUACCCUUAACAGGGGGAUAGCCCGGAGGAAUUCGGAUUAAUACCCCAUAGUAUCUUAAAGCAGCAUUGUUUAAAGAUUAAAGAUUUAUCGGCUAAGGAUGGGCAUGCGUGACAUUAGUUAGUUGGUGAGGUAACGGCUCACCAAGACUUCGAUGUCUAGGGGUUCUGAGAGGAUGAUCCCCCACACUGGUACUGAGACACGGACCAGACUCCUACGGGAGGCAGCAGUAGGGAAUAUUGGACAAUGGACGCAAGUCUGAUCCAGCCAUGCCGCGUGCAGGAUGACAGCCCUCUGGGUUGUAAACUGCUUUUAUAUGAGAAGAAACCCUCAGAUGCGUUUGAGGCUGACGGUAUCAUAUGAAUAAGGAUCGGCUAACUUCGUGCCAGCAGCCGCGGUAAGACGAAGGAUCCAAGCGUUGUCCGGAUUUACUGGGUUUAAAGGAUGCGUAGGCGGACACUUAAGCCAGUGGUGAAAUCCCAUAGCUCAACUACGGAACUGCCAUUGGAACUGUGUGUCUUGAAUUCGGUUGAGGUAGAUGGAAUAUAACAUGUAGCGGUGAAAUGCUUAGAUAUGUUAUAGAACACCGAUUGCGAAGGCAGUCUACUAAGCCGACAUUGACGCUGAGGCAUGAAAGCGUGGGGAGCGAACAGGAUUAGAUACCCUGGUAG